GACGAACGCUGGCGGCGUGCUUAACACAUGCAAGUCGAACGGAAAGGCCCUGCUUUUGUGGGGUGCUCGAGUGGCGAACGGGUGAGUAACACGUGAGUAACCUGCCCUUGUCUUUGGGAUAACUUCAGGAAACUGGGGCUAAUACCGGAUAUGAGAUCCUGCUGCAUGGUGGGGGUUGGAAAGUUUCGGCGGUUGGGGAUGGACUCGCGGCUUAUCAGCUUGUUGGUGGGGUAGUGGCUUACCAAGGCUUUGACGGGUAGCCGGCCUGAGAGGGUGACCGGCCACAUGGGUCCUGAGAUACGGCCCAGACGCCUACGUGAGGCAGUAGUGGGGAGUAUUGCACAAUGGGCGGAAGCCUGAUGCAGCAACGCCGCGUGCGGGAUGACGUCCUUCGGGUUGUAAACCGCUUUCGCCUGUGACGAAGCGUGAGUGACGGUAAUGGGUAAAGAAGCACCGGCUAACUACGUG
RNAcentral lists this ribosomal RNA (468 nucleotides) under uncultured bacterium. Its description in RNAcentral is "partial 16S ribosomal RNA". It matches the Rfam family "Bacterial small subunit ribosomal RNA", at positions 28 to 507 of the family's 1533-position model. The record is from RNAcentral.